This 484-nucleotide ribosomal RNA is filed under the name uncultured bacterium. Its description in RNAcentral is "partial 16S ribosomal RNA". It matches the Rfam family "Bacterial small subunit ribosomal RNA", at positions 30 to 507 of the family's 1533-position model. The record is from RNAcentral.
AUUGAACGCUGGCGGCAGGCCUAACACAUGCCAGUCGAGCGGAUGAAGGGAGCUUGCUCCUGGAUUCAGCGGCGGACGGGUGAGUAAUGCCUAGGAAUCUGCCUGGUAGUGGGGGAUAACGUCCGGAAACGGGCGCUAAUACCGCAUACGUCCUGAGGGAGAAAGUGGGGGAUCUUCGGACCUCACGCUAUCAGAUGAGCCUAGGUCGGAUUAGCUAGUUGGUGGGGUAAAGGCCUACCAAGGCGACGAUCCGUAACUGGUCUGAGAGGAUGAUCAGUCACACUGGAACUGAGACACGGUCCAGACUCCUAAGGGAGGCAGCAGUGGGGAAUAUUGGACAAUGGGCGAAAGCCUGAUCCAGCCAUGCCGCGUGUGUGAAGAAGGUCUUCGGAUUGUAAAGCACUUUAAGUUGGGAGGAAGGGCAGUAAGUUAAUACCCUGCUGUUUUGACGUUACCAACAGAAUAAGCACCGGCUAACUUCGUG